RNAcentral lists this ribosomal RNA (253 nucleotides) under uncultured bacterium. RNAcentral describes it as "partial 16S ribosomal RNA". It matches the Rfam family "Bacterial small subunit ribosomal RNA", at positions 524 to 776 of the family's 1533-position model. The record is from RNAcentral.
UACGUAGGGGGCAAGCGUUGUCCGGAAUCAUUGGGCGUAAAGAGCUCGUAGGCGGUCUGUCACGUCGGCUGUGAAAUCCCGAGGCUCAACCUCGGAACUGCCUUUGAUACUGGGGAUCUCGAGUUCGGGAGAGGUGAGUGGAACUGCGAGUGUAGAGGUGAAAUUCGUAGAUAUUCGCAAGAACACCAGUGGCGAAGGCGGCUCACUGGCCCGAUACUGACGCUGAGGUGCGAAAGCGUGGGGAGCAAACAGG